AGUCCAUGAUGAUAAUCCAAAGGCUUGUUUCUCAAGAACAUUCACACUCGCUGCCUAAGAGCUUUCGCCGGGCUUGAGAGCUUAUGCUGCUUUAUUCCUUCCCUGGAUGUCUGAGACU
Papaver somniferum (opium poppy) is the source of this 118-nucleotide small nucleolar RNA. RefSeq annotates it as small nucleolar RNA SNORD14. Lineage: Eukaryota; Viridiplantae; Streptophyta; Magnoliopsida; Ranunculales; Papaveraceae. The record is from RefSeq and is a predicted model, not a curated record. The transcript has a single exon.